ACACGGCGUGGCGGCCGGGCUGAGCUUCCUUCUCUGAAUACGCGCCGCUUCCGCAGGCCCAGCUGUAGCUUGAACCAGUUUGGGGAAGUUUGGCGGAGGCCCCUGCAUAUUUUUACUUCACACAUGACCCCACGGAGCCUAACGCUGCCCAUAUCCAGCGGCUUCCCCUCUUGCCAUUAACCCUGCAGGGGAAGGAGGGAAAGAUGCUGAUCGUUGUAAGGGUUUGCUUUCCACCAACACCCUCCCCCCUUCCUUGCUGCACGGGCUUCAUGUCCUCCCUUUAACCCUGAGAAGAGAGGACAAAAGCUAAACUAUGCUCUUACCCGGCUUCCCUCAUCCCACUCCCAGCUAAGCAGGCUUCACAUCCUCCUGUUAAUGUUGAAAGGAGUGAAGGACAAGAGCUGAUGAUGAGUCUCAGGCCUUGCUCUGUUUCUCCCCACCCCCUCCAUCAUCACUAUCCCCAUCCCCCACCGCAGCUCCCAUAGACUUGCAUCUCUUCCAUUAACACUGAAAGGGGAGGACAGGAGCUCUGAUGGGUUUUUCUCAAGCUUAUUUUGUUCUCCCUCUUCUACCAACCAGUAUCCAGCUCUACAGCCCUUCUUAAGUGCAAACCCUGCAGCCAGCUCUGUUUUCAUACACACCAACCCAACUGCCCUUCCCCCAACUCUCUAUCCAAGCUCCACAACCUUGCAGGAAAAACUGGUGCUUCCCCACAUUUUACUUAUUUGCAAAGGGAUGGUAGUUUUUAAAAAAUGUGUGAUCUGUUCUGUGGGCUGCAGCAUGCUUUCAGAACAACAUGUUGUUUUAUGUAAUCUUGUAUAUAGUCCUUAAUAGCCCCUUCACAUUAUCCAUUUUGGUCUUUUAAAAAGUUCUAUCUCAUAUCCUUCUGGAUCAGAGAAGGUCAGUUUAAACCAUUUUAAAAUCAGGAGUAGGUUCAGAAGGGUGACUUUUACUUUAUGGUUGCUAUAUCUCAUUUUAGGGAAUGAUUUUUUUUUUCCAAACCAGGCAUGAAGCACACCGAGGAAGAAUGCUUCAGCACUGAUGAAAGUAUGAGUUAAUGAGAGGUUUGCAGGGUAUGUAAAGCAAAAGAGAAUAUUUAACCAGCUCUGCUGUUCCCUCUACAUACCACAAACUUGUAAUCUGGAACCACAAGCUGGAUUGGAUGUGUUUGGAAAGCUGCAGCAGGAGACUCAUGUAAUUAAUUGCAUCACAGAUUCUCAGGUGCUGGGGCCGAAGUGUUCUUGGUGGCAACAUCCUAGCUAUGGAACUUUUAGCCUAAAGAACUCCUUGGCAGAAGAGAUCAGAUCAUGGCCAAGCCUGGCUGUGUUUAGGUCUACAUGUAAGAUGUGCCUUUCUACAAAAGGCCCUGAAACAGUGCUAGUAAAUAAAACAAAAACAAAUUCCUUAAAUUCAUAAAUCUCACUUCCCCAAGGAACAAAGAAAAGUAACACCACUUUUGUUAUGUACUGGGAUACCAUUUAAAUUUGUACAGUGCAAUGACUUGUUUAAUUUUCUGUCUUUUUCUAACACUUUUUCUAACUAACACUUUUUCUAUAAGUUUCAUAUUAAAAUGUUAAAUUCCUCUUUGAAUAUGGUGGGUAAAUAUUAAUUGUAUCAAUGGUAUUUUGUCAUCUUCAUAAAACGGUGAGAGAAAGGAGUGUUGUAACUGAAAAAAAUCACUUUCUUGGGGAAAUCAUUAUAUAACAGAGGAAGUUACUGAAUCUUGGGGUGAGGGAGAACCUAACACUAAGAACAGGGAUGCUAUAUAUUGUUGGAAAGCUAUACUAUAAGCAUGGAAGUCUGAAAUGUUUUAUGCUGAAGAAAGGUUUGUAAUGAGAAAAUGUGCCUUGGAAUAGAAGAGGAUUUGAUUUUUUUAAGAAACUUUAAGCAAUAAACUAAAACUCUUCAACCAUAUGAAAAAAAGUAUUUUGCUGAAUUGUCCAUGCUAGAAACAGAAAUUUGGCUCAUAUAGUCUGUUAUGAACAUCUGCUGAGUGGAAUAAUCAUUUUUAAAAGUAAGUCACUUACAUUAAACUUAUUUAAUUUUUCUGUGAUUUCAGUUGAAAUUGACAUAGCAGGGAAGGGAAGUAACUAUUUCCUUUUUAAAGUUAUUAACUGAAUGUAUGUUCAAUAGGCCAUACAACUGGAUUACCUGCUUUUGAGUAGGUGUCCUGAUUUUUCUCAUGACAGAACAUGGUCCUUCACUCAUCUGGGUAUCAAGUGUUUCCUUGUAAAUAUUCAUUCUGUAAUAGGAAAGAUUGGGAUGUGGUCUUUCUCAUAUUUUUGUACAACCAAGGAAUGCAGUGAUAGGUCUGGAGAGCAGAACUGGGAUUCAUUUUUUUUUGUAUUCUCAGCAUUGUUGGCCACUAGUUUGUGUUUAAACCACAAUCUCCUACCCUCAGUUAUCUCUGCAAACAUCUCUUUAAUGUUACUGGGAAGCAGCACUUCAGCAUCUUCUCCUUUCUGAAAUAUUUGUGGCCUCCUCGCCAGUGUUCCCUCUAAACUGCGCGACAUCACGUGAUUAAUCAGCCCAGCCCAGUCAGAGGCUCAGGGCUCUGUGCCCUGACUGACUAGGCAGGGCUGAUUAAUCACCUGUGAGGAUGUGCUGUGUGCAGAUUAGAAGGAACACUGCUUCUGCUGUGUGAGCCCUUCAUAUUAUUUUCCCCUCCUUUUAGUUUGUGUCUUUGCAGCUUAGAAUUCUUUUACUGAGCCAGGAGUUUACCAGAUACUUCAGCUAGAAAUUUAGGUCAUCCAUAAUAGAAGGGGGAAAUAGAGCUAAAA
Non-coding RNA from Pelodiscus sinensis (Chinese soft-shelled turtle), 2780 nucleotides. NCBI's taxonomy places the organism in Eukaryota, Metazoa, Chordata, Testudines, Trionychidae. The record is from RefSeq and is a predicted model, not a curated record.